AUAAAACCAGGAUCUUGGAGAGAGGAGAAAUGUCAAGAUAGGGAGAAGGAAAAGUGAGAAAUCUAGAACACAGCACAGGAGUAGCUGAUGGAAAUCUUGGAAAAGCAGAAUUUCUGGAAACCCAGAGUCUCCCUGGACCAGCCAACAAGAUUCCAUGCCCUCUGCCAUGACCCUCCCUAAUCCAUUUUGCUCAAUUUCCUUUGGGUCCUUUUUUAUGGCCACAAGUUGUCUUAGGACUGCUCUUCUUGCCUUAGACUGUUUCUGGUCAUUUUCCCCAAACUUCUUGUUUGCUCGGGGCUUGGUCCUUCCCAAGCUCAAGGUUACCUUCCGUCUCCCAACGUGCCUCCUCUGUGCCAUGAAUAUGGAGAAACAAGCUCUGUUGGGACCCCACUCACCCUCAUCCAGUGCAUUUCAUUCACCCUUUCAGUGCCUCACUCCCGCCAUGGCUCCCCGGAGCAAUGACAUCCACUCCUGAAGAAUCCGUGGCCCACUUAGGAGGCAGAGUGUCCAGUCUUGUCUGCCCAGGCACCCUGUGCAACCACCUACUCCUGGGCCUGGCCCUUUCCCAUUUUGUUUCUUUUCAUUUUUCUCUUCCCAGGCUAGAGGAUUUUUUUCCCCUCCCAGAAUAACUAAAUUCCUUUGGCUUCUUGUUUGUGGAAGGUAUUCUUGCUGUUAUCACAGAUCUUCUCUCCUUUACUUUUUCCUUUAUGGGAUUAAUAUCCUUUAAGGAUUCAGGCUUUUGAGGAAAAUAAAAACCAAGGAAAAUGUUAGGCUAUUUCUGCUUUACUCCCAGUCACACCCUACUCUUGUUUAAGUUGGGGCCGGGGGGUGCCGUGCAGAAGGUGAACUGUGAGGAAAAGAAAAAAAACUGAAGGAGAAAAAAUUGUCAUACCGUGCAAUACUAUACAGCCAGCUGCACUCAUAAUGGGCAGUCAAAUUCUGCGGUCUAUUCAAAGUUAUUUCCUAUAGUCCUUCCUAAUCGGCCUUGAGAUAGGGGAGGAAAAGAAGACGGG
Long non-coding RNA from Heterocephalus glaber (naked mole-rat), 1013 nucleotides. NCBI's taxonomy places the organism in Eukaryota, Metazoa, Chordata, Mammalia, Rodentia, Bathyergidae. The record is from Ensembl.